RNAcentral lists this ribosomal RNA (622 nucleotides) under uncultured archaeon. RNAcentral describes it as "bacterial SSU rRNA". It matches the Rfam family "Archaeal small subunit ribosomal RNA", at positions 147 to 774 of the family's 1478-position model. The record is from RNAcentral.
UAAUACUCCACAGAUUAGAGACACUGGAAUGUUCUUUAGUCGAAAGUUCUGGCGCCUUAGGAUGGAUCUGCGGUCGAUUAGGUUGUUGUUGGGGUAACGGCCCAACAAGCCUGUAAUCGAUACGGGUUGUGGGAGCAAGAGCCCGGAGAUGGAAUCUGAGACACGAUUCCAGGCCCUACGGGGCGCAGCAGGCGCGAAAACUUUACAAUGCAGGAAACUGUGAUAAGGGAACUCCGAGUGCCCGUAUACGCGGGCUGUCCAGGUGUUUAAAAAUCAUCUGAAGAAAGGGCCGGGCAAGACCGGUGCCAGCCGCCGCGGUAAUACCGGCGGCUCGAGUGGUGGCCACUAUUAUUGGGCUUAAAGCGUCCGUAGCUGGACCGAUAAGUCUCUUGGGAAAUCCGCCGGCUCAACCGGCGGGCGUCUAAGGGAUACUGUUAGUCUAGGGACCGGGAGAGGUGAGAGGUACUCCGGGGGUAGGAGUGAAAUCCUGUAAUCCCCGGGGGACCACCGAUGGCGAAGGCAUCUCACCAGAACGGCUCCGACAGUGAGGGACGAAAGCUGGGGGAGCGAAACGGAUUAAAUACCCGGGUAGUCCCAGCCGUAAACUAUGCGCGUUAGGUGU